Molecule: ribosomal RNA, 460 nt
Filed under: uncultured bacterium
Lineage: Bacteria
Description: partial 16S ribosomal RNA
Rfam family: Bacterial small subunit ribosomal RNA
Source: RNAcentral
CCUACGGGAGGCAGCAGUGAGGAAUAUUGGUCAAUGGGCGCUAGCCUGAACCAGCCAAGUAGCGUGAAGGAUGACUGCCCUAUGGGUUGUAAACUUCUUUUAUAUGGGAAUAAAGUGCAGUAUGUAUACUGCUUUGCAUGUACCUUAUGAAUAAGGAUCGGCUAACUCCGUGCCAGCAGCCGCGGUAAUACGGAGGAUCCGAGCGUUAUCCGGAUUUAUUGGGUUUAAAGGGAGCGUAGGUGGGUUGUUAAGUCAGUUGUGAAAGUUUGCGGCUCAACCGUAAAAUUGCAGUUGAUACUGGCAGCCUUGAGUACAGUAGAGGUAGGCGGAAUUCGUGGUGUAGCGGUGAAAUGCUUAGAUAUCACGAAGAACUCCGAGUGCGAAGGCAGCCUGCUGGACUGUAACUGACGCUGAUGCUCGAAAGUGUGGGUAUCAAACAGGAUUAGAUACCCUUGUAGUC